CCUACGGGAGGCAGCAGUAGGGAAUCUUCCACAAUGGGCGAAAGCCUGAUGGAGCAACGCCGCGUGGGUGAAGAAGUUCUUCGGAUCGUACAACCCUAUUUUUAGAGAAGUAAGUGCGUGAGAGUAACUUUUCUCGUUUCUACGUUAUCUAACCAGAAAGCCACGGCUAACUACGUGCCAGCAUCCCCGUUAAUACGUAGGUGACAAGCGUUAUCCGGUUUUAUUGGGCGUAAAGGGAACGCAGGCGGUCUUUUAAGUAUGAUGUGAAAGCCUUCGGCUUAAACGGAGUAGUGCAUUGGAAACUGGGAGACUUGAGUGCAGAAGAGGAGAGUGGAACUCGAUGUGUAGCGGUGAAAUGCGUAGAUAUAUGGAAGAACACCGAUGGCGAAAGCGGCUCUCUGGUCUGUCACUGACGCUGAGGUUCGAAAGCGUGGGUAGCAAACAGGAUUAGAUACCCGAGUAGUC
RNAcentral lists this ribosomal RNA (465 nucleotides) under uncultured bacterium. RNAcentral's name for it is "partial 16S ribosomal RNA". It matches the Rfam family "Bacterial small subunit ribosomal RNA", at positions 338 to 795 of the family's 1533-position model. The record is from RNAcentral.